This 208-nucleotide non-coding RNA is filed under the name Sorghum bicolor (sorghum). RNAcentral describes it as "Eukaryotic large subunit ribosomal RNA". It matches the Rfam family "Eukaryotic large subunit ribosomal RNA", at positions 1172 to 1379 of the family's 3401-position model. Lineage: Eukaryota; Viridiplantae; Streptophyta; Magnoliopsida; Poales; Poaceae. The record is from Rfam by way of RNAcentral.
AAGCCGGGUUACGGUGCCAAACUGCGCGCUAACAUAGAACCCACAAAGGGUGUUGGUCGAUUAAGACAGCAGGACAGUGGUCAUGGAAGUCGAAAUCCGCUAAGGAGUGUGUAACAACUCACCUGCCGAAUUAACUAGCCCCGAAAAUGGAUGGCGCUAAGGCGCGCGACCCACACCUAGCCAUCUGGGCGAGCGCCAUGCCCCGAUG